UGGCUCAGGAUGAACGCUGGCGGCGUGCUUAACACAUGCAAGUCGAACGGAGUUUUAACGGAAGUUUCGGAUGGAAGUUAAGAACUUAGUGGCGGACGGGUGAGUAACGCGUGGGUAACCUGCCUCAUACAGGGGGAUAACAGUUAGAAAUGACUGCUAACACCGCAUAAUAUAGCGAAACCGCAUGAUUUUGCUAUCAAAUAUUUAUAGGUAUGAGAUGGGCCCGCGUCUGAUUAGCUAGUUGGUGGGGUAAAGCCUACCAAGGCGACGAUCAGUAGCCGGCUUGAGAGAGUGACCGGCCACAUUGGGACUGAGACACGGCCCAAACUCCUACGGGAGGCAGCAGUGGGGAAUAUUGGACAAUGGGGGAAACCCUGAUCCAGCGAACCGCCGCGUGAGUGAAGAAGUAUUUCGGUAUGUAAAGCUCUAUCAGCAGGGAAGAUAAUGACAGUACCUGACUAAGAAGCCCCGGCUAACUACGUGCCAGCAGCCGC
Molecule: ribosomal RNA, 494 nt
Filed under: uncultured bacterium
Lineage: Bacteria
Description: bacterial SSU rRNA
Rfam family: Bacterial small subunit ribosomal RNA
Source: RNAcentral